UGAGGGAUAUUGGGCAAUGGGGAAAGCCCAUGACCCAGCGACGCCGCGUGAGGGAAGACGGUCUUCGGAUUGUAAACCUCUGUCUUUGGGGACGAAGAAGGACGGUACCCAAGGAGGAAGCUCCGGCUAACUACGUGCCAGCAGCCGCGGUAAUACGUAGGGAGCGAGCGUUGUCCGGAAUUACUGGGUGUAAAGGGAGCGUAGGCGGGAUUGCAAGUUGGAUGUGAAAACUGCGGGCUCAACCCGAGAGUGCAUUCAAAACUGCGAUUCUUGAGUGAAGUAGAGGCAAGCGGAAUUCCUAGUGUAGCGGUGAAAUGCGUAGAUAUUAGGAGGAACACCAGUGGCGAAGGCGGCUUGCUGGGCUUUUACUGACGCUGAGGCACGAAAAGCGUGGGUAUCGAACAGGAUUAGAUACCC
Molecule: ribosomal RNA, 417 nt
Filed under: uncultured bacterium
Lineage: Bacteria
Description: bacterial SSU rRNA
Rfam family: Bacterial small subunit ribosomal RNA
Source: RNAcentral